AGGUUGGACACUAUCAAGCCUUUCUCUUGCUGUUAAUGAAGGAUGUUCUUCCACUAAGUCAGAAGGCUGUGAGAUACCAACUUCAUACAGUCCAAAGAACAGUAGAGUAACUCUAUGGAAAGCAACUCAUGCUUUUAGAGUAUCCAAAAUCUUCAUAUUAAAAUUCAUUUUCAAGAGUUGAUAUCCAAACCUAUCUGAUGGGUGAAGAUUUUCAAAACACUGUCAUGAGGUGUGAAUGCAUGCUGAACACACGGUAUGGCAAGACAGUGAAGUUUUUAAGUUUGACUUCAAGAAGUUUGUGAGAAAAUUAUAUGACUCAUGUUGGAGACAAACAGUGUAACAAAGUAAGCAAUAAAACUUUUUUUUCAUGUUCUUUUGUAAGAAUAAAAUGUAACUGAAA
Long non-coding RNA from Cygnus olor (mute swan), 400 nucleotides. RefSeq lists it as uncharacterized. The record is from RefSeq and is a predicted model, not a curated record. NCBI's taxonomy places the organism in Eukaryota, Metazoa, Chordata, Aves, Anseriformes, Anatidae. The transcript is spliced from 2 exons.